Molecule: ribosomal RNA, 564 nt
Filed under: Flavobacterium sp. Ri1Ps_4820
Lineage: Bacteria; Pseudomonadati; Bacteroidota; Flavobacteriia; Flavobacteriales; Flavobacteriaceae
Description: bacterial SSU rRNA
Rfam family: Bacterial small subunit ribosomal RNA
Source: RNAcentral
UUGUAAACUGCUUUUGUACGAGAAAAAACACUGGUUCGUGAAGCAGCUUGACGGUCUCGUAAGAAUAAGGAUCGGCUAACUCCGUGCCAGCAGCCGCGGUAAUACGGAGGAUCCAAGCGUUAUCCGGAAUCAUUGGGUUUAAAGGGUCCGUAGGCGGUUUAGUAAGUCAGUGGUGAAAGCCCAUCGCUCAACGGUGGAACGGCCAUUGAUACUGCUGAACUUGAAUUAUUAGGAAGUAACUAGAAUAUGUAGUGUAGCGGUGAAAUGCUUAGAGAUUACAUGGAAUACCAAUUGCGAAGGCAGGUUACUACUAAUUGAUUGACGCUGAUGGACGAAAGCGUGGGGAGCGAACAGGAUUACAUACCCUGGUAGUCCACGCCGUAAACGAUGGAUACUAGCUGUUGGGAGCAAUCUCAGUGGCUAAGCGAAAGUGAUAAGUAUCCCACCUGGGGAGUACGUUCGCAAGAAUGAAACUCAGAGGAAUUGACCGGGGCCCGCACAAGCGGUGGAGCAUGUGGUUUAAUUCGAUGAUACACGAGGAACCUUACCAAGGCUUAAAUGUAA